GGGAAUUUUCCGCAAUGGGCGAAAGCCUGACGGAGCAACGCCGCGUGAGGGAUGAAGGCCUCUGGGCUGUAAACCUCUUUUAUCAAGGAAGAAGAUCUGACGGUACUUGAUGAAUAAGCCACGGCUAAUUCCGUGCCAGCAGCCGCGGUAAUACGGGAGUGGCAAGCGUUAUCCGGAAUUAUUGGGCGUAAAGCGUCCGCAGGCGGUCUUACAAGUCUGUCGUUAAAGCGUGGAGCUUAACUCCAUUUCAGCGAUGGAAACUGUAAGACUAGAGUGUGGUAGGGGCAGAGGGAAUUCCCGGUGUAGCGGUGAAAUGCGUAGAUAUCGGGAAGAACACCAGUGGCGAAGGCGCUCUGCUGGGCCAUAACUGACGCUCAUGGACGAAAGCCAGGGGAGCGAAAGGGAUUAGAUACCCCUGUAGUC
RNAcentral lists this ribosomal RNA (423 nucleotides) under uncultured cyanobacterium. RNAcentral's name for it is "bacterial SSU rRNA". It matches the Rfam family "Bacterial small subunit ribosomal RNA", at positions 357 to 795 of the family's 1533-position model. Lineage: Bacteria; Bacillati; Cyanobacteriota. The record is from RNAcentral.